ACUUCAGGUUAUUAGAAAAACUUCAAAUAUCACCCAUAGAGUUUCACACUUUCUCAUUUUAGUACCUUAUGAUUUAAAAUGUAUUCAUUUAGUGUCCUGUAGUUUUAUUUUUAUCUUUUUCUUAUUUAUUUCACUAAUUUUUUUUGUUAAAUCAGUGACAAAGUUAAAACUAAAGUGUAUUUCACUAAUUUUUUUUGUUAAAUCAAUGACAAAGUUAAAACUAAAGGGCACUGAAGUGAAUAUUCAAUAAACCUAGGUGGGGUAUCUGAAGUUUUUUGUAUAUAAUUUAACGAAAUAUUAACGAAGAACCUGACGAAAAGAUAAAAUGUAUUACUUUAGUACACUUUCUCACCUUAGUACCUUAUGAUUUAAAAUGAAUUAAUUUAGUGUCAUAUAGUUUCAUUUUUAUCUUUUGCUUAUUUAUUUCACUAAUUUUUUUUGUUAAAUCAGUGAUAAAGUUAAAACUAAAGGGCACUAAAGUGAAUAUUCAAUAAACCUAGGUGGGAUAUCUGAAGUUUUUUGUAUAUAAUUUAACGAAAUAUUAACGGAGAACCUGACGAAAAGAUAAAAUGUAUUACUUUAGUACACUUUCUCACUUUAGUACAUUAUGAUUUAAAAUGUAUUAAUUUAGUGUCAUAUAGUUUCAUUUUUAUCUUUUUCUUAUUUAUUUCACUAAUUUUUUUUGUUAAAUCAGUGAUAAAGUUAAAACUAAAGGGCACUAAAAUGAAUAUUCAAUAAAGCUAGGUGGGGUAUCUGAAGUUUUUUGUAUAUAAUUUAACGAAAUAUUAAUAAAGAAGCUGACGAAAAGAUAAAAAUAAAAUCACAGGGCACUAACUUGACACACUUUAAACUACAGGGUACUAAAGUGAGAAAGUGCAAAACUACAGGGGUGGUAUUUGAAAUUUACCCUUUACAAUUUUAUGAAUACUAGUUGAGUAUACGUGUUAAUACACAUAACAAUUAUUUUAAUUUAUUUUAAACUAAUAUAAAUUUAUACAUUAUAUUUAUUUAAAAAUUUAUAAUGAAAAUUAUAUUUUAUCAAUUAAUUUUUUUUAUAUACAUUAAAUAUUUUUAUAUAUUUUUCGAUUUCUUAUGAUCUAAAAUUUAAGUAUGUUUUAAACGAAAAGUAUCAAAAUUUAAUUCAUAUUUAUAUAAAAAUUUAAAAUUUAAUUUUGAUCCAUUAUAAUUAAAAAAAAAUUAAUUGUUAAUUCAAAUUUGAUAUUAAAAAUUAAAUUUAAUUCACGAUUUAAAUUCUAAUUUAAAUUUUAAUGUAAAAUAGAUGGAUAGAAAUACUAUGUUUUAACAGAUUGAUCAUAACCGUUCGUUUUUAUUUGAAAUAUUUUUAACGAAUUGAUCAUAACUGUUCGUGGGAUUAGAUUUAUAAAUGGAUAUAAAUGCUAUUUUUAACAGAAUAAUCAUAACUGUUCGUUCGUUCAUUCGUUCUUAUUUGAGAUAUUUUUUAAUACACUGAUUAUAAUUAUUUACAGGGAAUAUUUGUUUUUUUUUUUUUGAUACGUCCGUUAUUAUAGGAACUCCUAUAUACUUUUAUAAAUAGUAUAGAUAUAGAUGAGUUCUAAUUAUUUAUUUGUUCAAUUACUGCAAGUGCCUACGUAUACCCGCGAAUAUAUUUUAAUUAAAAUUAUAUUUUUUUAAUCUAUCCAUAAUACUCAAAGUUUUAAAUUUGAAAUCUAAUUACUUUAUAUUUUUAACCUAAUUUAUUU
RNAcentral lists this long non-coding RNA (1721 nucleotides) under Ananas comosus (pineapple). RNAcentral's name for it is "long non-coding RNA (ACOM_LNC009683)". The record is from RNAcentral. Lineage: Eukaryota; Viridiplantae; Streptophyta; Magnoliopsida; Poales; Bromeliaceae.